RNAcentral lists this unclassified non-coding RNA (333 nucleotides) under Hevea brasiliensis (rubber tree). Lineage: Eukaryota; Viridiplantae; Streptophyta; Magnoliopsida; Malpighiales; Euphorbiaceae. The record is from RNAcentral.
UCUUCUAUCUCAUUUUUCUCCUCUUUCUGUCAAUUUUCUGGAUGAUUUUGACCGCAUUGGAAGAUCAUGACCUUGAAUAGUUGGGUGCUCGUGUGUCAUUGUUAUAUUCAUAGGGAAUUCUGGAUUCCAUAAACUGCUGUCUUGUAUGAAUGAUUAGGACAAAAAGGGGUUCUGUUGUUGUAAUUGAUAUAGUUCACGUUCCAGGAUUGAGUGAUCAUUAGAUUUUCUGUUGAUUCAUUAAAUUAUAGUUUGAAAUGCCUCAAAAACAUUUGCAUUAGCCAAAGGCCAAGAAAUGUAUAGCAUCUCAAACUAUAAUUUAAUGAAUCAACAGAA